AACGCGAAGAACCUUACCAGCCCUUGACAUCCCGGUCGCGGGAACGAGAGAUCGAUCCCUUCAGUUCGGCUGGACCGGAGACAGGUGCUGCAUGGCUGUCGUCAGCUCGUGCCGUGAGGUGUUUGGUUAAGUCCAGCAACGAGCGCAACCCUUAUCAUUAGUUGCCAACACGCGAGGUGGGGACUCUAAUGAGACUGCCUGGGUUAACCAGGAGGAAGGUGAGGAUGACGUCAAGUCCGCAUGGCCUUUAUGUCUGGGGCUACACACGUGCUACAAUGGUCGGUACAGAAGGCAGCAAGACCGCAAGGUGGAGCAAAUCCCUAAAGCCGAUCCCAGUUCAGAUUGUCGUCUGCAACUCGACGACAUGAAGUUGGAAUUGCUAGUAAUGACGUGUCAGCUACAACGUCGUGAAUACGUUCCCGGGCCUUGUACACACCGAGUAUA
This 444-nucleotide ribosomal RNA is filed under the name uncultured bacterium. RNAcentral's name for it is "bacterial SSU rRNA". It matches the Rfam family "Bacterial small subunit ribosomal RNA", at positions 958 to 1398 of the family's 1533-position model. The record is from RNAcentral.